RNAcentral lists this ribosomal RNA (437 nucleotides) under uncultured bacterium. Its description in RNAcentral is "bacterial SSU rRNA". It matches the Rfam family "Bacterial small subunit ribosomal RNA", at positions 29 to 446 of the family's 1533-position model. The record is from RNAcentral.
ACGAACGCUGGCGGCGUGCCUAAUACAUGCAAGUCGAACGCAUUUUCUUUCACCGUAGCUUGCUACACCGAAAGAAAAUGAGUGGCGAACGGGUGAGUAACACGUGGGUAACCUGCCCAUCAGCGGGGGAUAACACUUGGAAACAGGUGCUAAUACCGCAUAAUUCCAUUUACCGCAUGGCAGAUGGAUGAAAGGCGCUUUUGCGUCACUGAUGGAUGGACCCGCGGUGCAUUAGCUAGUUGGUGGGGUAACGGCCUACCAAGGCUGCGAUGCAUAGCCGACCUGAGAGGGUGAUCGGCCACACUGGGACUGAGACACGGCCCAGACUCCUACGGGAGGCAGCAGUAGGGAAUCUUCGGCAAUGGACGCAAGUCUGACCGAGCAACGCCGCGUGAGUGAAGAAGGUUUUCGGAUCGUAAAACUCUGUUGUUAGAGAA